Molecule: ribosomal RNA, 258 nt
Filed under: uncultured bacterium
Lineage: Bacteria
Description: partial 16S ribosomal RNA
Rfam family: Bacterial small subunit ribosomal RNA
Source: RNAcentral
UACGAAGGGGGCUAGCGUUGCUCGGAAUCACUGGGCGUAAAGGGCGCGUAGGCGGCCAUUCAAGUCAGGGGUGAAAGCCUGUGGCUCAACCACAGAAUUGCCUUUGAUACUGUUUGGCUAGAGACCGGAAGAGGUAAGUGGAACUGCGAGUGUAGAGGUGAAAUUCGUAGAUAUUCGCAAGAACACCAGUGGCGAAGGCGGCUUACUGGUCCGGUUCUGACGCUGAGGCGCGAAAGCGUGGGGAGCAAACAGGAUUAG